GAUUGUUUGAUCCUGGCUCAAGAAUUGAACGCUGGCGGCAUGCCUUACCACAUGCAAGUUCGAACGGCAGCAACGGGAGCAAUCCUGGUGGCGGAGUGGCGAACCGGGUGAGUAAUACAUCGGAAACGUGUCCUGGAGUGGGGGGAUAGCCCCGGCGAAAGCCGGAAUUAAUACCGCAUACGCUCUGUGGAGGAAAGGGGGGGGAUCUUCGGACCUCUCGCUCAAGGGGCGGCCGAUGGCAGAUUAGCUAGUUGGUGGGGUAAAGGCCUACCAAGGCGACGAUCUGUAGCUGGUCUGAGAGGACGACCAGCCACACUGGGACUGAGACACGGCCCAGACUCCUACGGGAGGCAGCAGUGGGGAAUUUUGGACAAUGGGCGCAAGCCUGAUCCAGCAAUGCCGCGUGUGUGAAGAAGGCCUUCGGGUUGUAAAGCACUUUUGUCCGGAAAGAAAACCUCGUGGUUAAUACCCGUGGGGGAUGACGGUACCGGAAGAAUAAGCACCGGCUAACUACGUGCCAGCAGCCGCGGUAAUACGUAGGGUGCAAGCGUUAAUCGGAAUUACUGGGCGUAAAGCGUGCGCAGGCGGUUCGCUAAGACAGAUGUGAAAUCCCCGGGCUUAACCUGGGAACUGCAUUUGUGACUGGCGGGCUAGAGUAUGGCAGAGGGGGGUAGAAUUCCACGUGUAGCAGUGAAAUGCGUAGAGAUGUGGAGGAAUACCGAUGGCGAAGGCAGCCCCCUGGGCCAAUACUGACGCUCAUGCACGAAAGCGUGGGGUGCAAACAGGAUUAGAUACCCUGGUAGUCCACGCCCCAAACGAUGUCAACUGGUUGUCGGGCCUUCAUUGGCUUGGUAACGUAGCUAACGCGUGAAGUGACCGCC
This 881-nucleotide ribosomal RNA is filed under the name uncultured bacterium. RNAcentral describes it as "bacterial SSU rRNA". It matches the Rfam family "Bacterial small subunit ribosomal RNA", at positions 9 to 873 of the family's 1533-position model. The record is from RNAcentral.